Molecule: long non-coding RNA, 1657 nt
Filed under: Heterocephalus glaber (naked mole-rat)
Lineage: Eukaryota; Metazoa; Chordata; Mammalia; Rodentia; Bathyergidae
Description: lncRNA (ENSHGLG00000039166.1)
Source: RNAcentral
GUAUCUUUUGUGCUACUUUGAUUUUUGCAACUUCCUUUAAGUUUGCAGUCACUUCCAAAUUGAAAACAAAAACAAGAAAACAUCUUUUCCUGGCCCUCAGUUGGUCCUCACCUACCCAGGGGGUCUCUGAGGCCUGGGAGCUAGGAUGGUCACCUGCUUUCUCCUGCUCCCCACUUGCGCCUCUCCUGGCAGGUCCCCAGGCCGAUGUCCCUGGCUCCCACCCAGCCCAAGCUGUGUUCACUCCUAGUGCUCAGUGGAUGGCCUCUCAGAGGUGUGAAACGGCUGUGAACUGCCUGGCCUCAGGGCUUGGGGGGCCUGAGCCCGGCCUCUUUCAUCUCAGCUUUGAAAUGGGCUCCUUGUCCAAGCCCAGGGCCGCCUGAGCCUUUGUAACUGGCCUGCUCUGGAGGAAGCAGAAGGACCUGCUCUCUCAUCUUUAGAUGGAAGUGGACUUGCUAUUUGAUUCCAUUUUACUCACAACUAUGUUUCAUGGUAGUUUGUGCUAUCAUAGUGGUGCUUAUGCUUCUCUCCCUUUCAUUUCUGCUGAUGGAAAACCAGUGACUGACUUUAGUGGUGCAAAGUCUAAAUCCAUGGGGUUCCAAGUGUGACAGUGCACACCUAUAAUCCCAGCACUCAGGAGGCUGAGACAAGGAGGAUCACUAUGAGCUCAAAGCCAGCAUGAAGUACAUAUCAAAGCCCUGUCUCAACAAACCAAAUCAAGCAAAAACCAUGGGCCAUGGGUGUAGACUAAUGUUUUGGGGAAGCAAUCAGAGAUUCCUUGGGGCUGAAGAAGAGGAGAGAGGGAAACCAUGGGGUGGGGAGGCUACAGGUGAGUCAGGCAAUGCACUUUGUUCUACAGGUGGUAGGAGCUGCACCUCAAAGUGAUAUAAACAACCAUUAGCACCAGCUGUCUCACCCAGCUAAGUCCAGAGGCACUGUGUCCCCAGGGACGCCUCUAGCAGCUCAUUGGCUACUUGACCUUGGGCAAGUUACAACCUGGGUUCCUUAUCUGUGACAAAAUUGUUGGUGUCAGAUGACUCAGUAUAAGUUAAACCAGCACCACCACCAGGUGCCUCACCCCGCACAAGUCUAGAGCCUGUGUCCCAUGGUCACACCACUUACUAGCUCAUCAGCUAUGUGACCUUGCACAAGCGACUUAACCUGAGUCUUCUUACCUGUGAAAAAGAGCAGUUGGCAUGGAAUGAGGGGUAACAUGAGUAAAGGUCAUUCCUGGCAUGGGGUGUUGUAUAGGUGUUUGUAACAACUGUAUCGGUCAGUUGUCACUGUAAGAAACACGCCAAACUCCCUAUGGUGUCAGCAGUGAACAUUUCUCCUGUGUCAAGGGUUGGGCAGGCUGGUUGCCGCUAAUUCACGCUGCUCAUGUAGCUGGGUCACCCCAUGUUCCUUCUGCACCCAGUGCAGUCACCAGGAACCUGCAGCUCUGGGGUGAUGUGAGGGCAAAGGGUGGCAGGAACUGGCAUGUCAUCAUGCUGCCCCCUUCCUGUGGGCCGAAGCUCAGUGUCAGCAGGGAGGGAAAACAUCAAGUGGACCAGGGAACAGAGAAUUAGAAACAGUGUACAAAGUGAACUGAAUCUGUAGAUGGAAGUAUUUUAUUGUUUAACAUUGUGAAAUUAAAAAAAUUUUUUUUUGAAAUUCAAAA